UACGUAGGGUGCGAGCGUUGUCCGGAAUUACUGGGCGUAAAGAGCUCGUAGGUGGUUUGUCACGUCGUCUGUGAAAUUCCGGGGCUUAACUCCGGGCGUGCAGGCGAUACGGGCAAUACUUGAGUGCUGUAGGGGAGACUGGAAUUCCUGGUGUAGCGGUGGAAUGCGCAGAUAUCAGGAGGAACACCGAUGGCGAAGGCAGGUCUCUGGGCAGUAACUGACGCUGAGGAGCGAAAGCAUGGGUAGCGAACAGGAUUAGAUA
RNAcentral lists this ribosomal RNA (262 nucleotides) under uncultured prokaryote. RNAcentral describes it as "partial 16S ribosomal RNA". It matches the Rfam family "Bacterial small subunit ribosomal RNA", at positions 524 to 784 of the family's 1533-position model. The record is from RNAcentral.